GCCUACGGGGGGCAGCAGUGGGGGAUAUUGCACAAUGGGGGGAACCCUGAUGCAGCGACGCCGCGUGGGUGAAGAAGCGUUUCGGCGCGUAAAGCCCUAUCGGCAGGGAAGAAGGAGGACGGUACCUGACUAAGAAGCCCCGGCUAACUACGUGCCAGCAGCCGCGGUAAUACGUAGGGGGCAAGCGUUAUCCGGAUUUACUGGGUGUAAAGGGAGCGAAGGCGGGACUGCAAGUUGGGUGUCAAAUCUACCGGC
RNAcentral lists this ribosomal RNA (255 nucleotides) under uncultured bacterium. RNAcentral describes it as "partial 16S ribosomal RNA". It matches the Rfam family "Bacterial small subunit ribosomal RNA", at positions 337 to 608 of the family's 1533-position model. The record is from RNAcentral.